UAGAGUUUGAUCCUGGCUCAGAUUGAACGCUGGCGGCAGGCUUAACACAUGCAAGUCGAGCGGUAGCACAGGGGAGCUUGCUCCCCGGGUGACGAGCGGCGGACGGGUGAGUAAUGUCUGGGAAACUGCCUGAUGGAGGGGGAUAACUACUGGAAACGGUAGCUAAUACCGCAUAACGUCGCAAGACCAAAGAGGGGGACCUUCGGGCCUCUUGCCAUCAGAUGUGCCCAGAUGGGAUUAGCUAGUAGGUGGGGUAAUGGCUCACCUAGGCGACGAUCCCUAGCUGGUCUGAGAGGAUGACCAGCCACACUGGAACUGAGACACGGUCCAGACUCCUACGGGAGGCAGCAGUGGGGAAUAUUGCACAAUG
RNAcentral lists this ribosomal RNA (370 nucleotides) under Serratia nematodiphila. RNAcentral describes it as "bacterial SSU rRNA". It matches the Rfam family "Bacterial small subunit ribosomal RNA", at positions 1 to 373 of the family's 1533-position model. The record is from RNAcentral. Lineage: Bacteria; Pseudomonadati; Pseudomonadota; Gammaproteobacteria; Enterobacterales; Yersiniaceae.